This 253-nucleotide unclassified non-coding RNA is filed under the name uncultured Bacteroidaceae bacterium. Its description in RNAcentral is "contains 16S-23S intergenic spacer region". It matches the Rfam family "Bacterial small subunit ribosomal RNA", at positions 524 to 776 of the family's 1533-position model. The record is from RNAcentral. Lineage: Bacteria; Pseudomonadati; Bacteroidota; Bacteroidia; Bacteroidales; Bacteroidaceae.
UACGGAGGAUGCAAGCGUUAUCCGGAUUUAUUGGGUUUAAAGGGAGCGUAGGCGGACUUUUAAGUCAGCUGUGAAAGUUUACGGCUCAACCGUGAAAUUGCAGUUGAUACUGGUAGUCUUGAGUACAGUAUAGGUGGGCGGAAUUCGUGGUGUAGCGGUGAAAUGCUUAGAUAUCACGAAGAACUCCGAUUGCGAAGGCAGCUCACUGGAGUGUAACUGACGCUGAUGCUCGAAAGUGUGGGUAUCAAACAGG